GAGUUUGAUCGUGGCUCAGAGUGAACGCUGGCGGCAGGCCUAACACAUGCAAGUCGAGCGGCAGCACGGGUAGCAAUACCUGGUGGCGAGCGGCGGACGGGUGAGGAAUACAUCGGAAUCUGCCUCGUCGUGGGGGGAUAACGUAGGGAAACUUACGCUAAUACCGCAUACGACCGAGAGGUGAAAGCGGGGGAUCGCAAGACCUCGCGCGAUGAGAUGAGCCGAUGUCGGAUUAGCUAGUUGGCGGGGUAAAGGCCCACCAAGGCGACGAUCCGUAGCUGGUCUGAGAGGAUGAUCAGCCACACUGGAACUGAGACACGGUCCAGACUCCUACGGGAGGCAGCAGUGGGGAAUAUUGGACAAUGGGGGCAACCCUGAUCCAGCAAUGCCGCGUGAGUGAUGAAGGCC
This 408-nucleotide ribosomal RNA is filed under the name uncultured Gammaproteobacteria bacterium. RNAcentral's name for it is "bacterial SSU rRNA". It matches the Rfam family "Bacterial small subunit ribosomal RNA", at positions 9 to 416 of the family's 1533-position model. The record is from RNAcentral. Lineage: Bacteria; Pseudomonadati; Pseudomonadota; Gammaproteobacteria.